AAUAGAUACCCCGGUAGUCCACACCGUAAACGUUGGGCGCUAGGUGUGGGAUCCUUUCCACGGGUUCCGUGCCGUAGCUAACGCAUUAAGCGCCCCGCCUGGGGAGUACGGCCGCAAGGCUAAAACUCAAAGGAAUUGACGGGGGCCCGCACAAGCGGCGGAGCAUGCGGAUUAAUUCGAUGCAACGCGAAGAACCUUACCUGGGUUUGACAUACACCGGAAGCCUCUAGAGAUAGGGGUCUCUUUGAUACUGGUGUACAGGUGGUGCAUGACUGUCGUCAGCUCGUGUCGUGAGAUGUUGGGUUAAGUCCCGCAACGAGCGCAACCCUCGUUCCAUGUUGCCAGCACGUAGUGGUGGGGACUCAUGGGAGACUGCCGGGGUCAACUCGGAGGAAGGUGGGGAUGACGUCAAGUCAUCAUGCCCCUUAUGUCCAGGGCUUCACGCAUGCUACAAUGGCCGGUACAAAGGGCUGCGAUCCCGUGAGGGGGAGCGAAUCCCAAAAAGCCGGUCUCAGUUCGGAUUGGGGUCUGCAACUCGACCCC
This 543-nucleotide ribosomal RNA is filed under the name uncultured bacterium. RNAcentral describes it as "bacterial SSU rRNA". It matches the Rfam family "Bacterial small subunit ribosomal RNA", at positions 777 to 1319 of the family's 1533-position model. The record is from RNAcentral.